Molecule: non-coding RNA, 148 nt
Organism: Gorilla gorilla gorilla (western lowland gorilla)
Lineage: Eukaryota; Metazoa; Chordata; Mammalia; Primates; Hominidae
Rfam family: Metazoan signal recognition particle RNA
About the family: The signal recognition particle (SRP) is a universally conserved ribonucleoprotein.
Source: Rfam
GCUGGGUGUGGUGGCUCAUGCCUGUAAUCCCAGCGUUUUGAGAGGCUGAGGCAGGAGGAUUGCUUGAGCCCAGGAAUUUAAGGCUAUAGUGAGCUAUGAUGGCACCACUGCACUCCAGCCUGGGUGACAGAGCAAGACCCUGUCUCUU